AUGCAAUUGAGGCAACCCUUGGGCUGCUUUAGAGGCGCUGACAUCCGAGGAGCCUUCUCCUGGGAGGUCCAACAGCCGAGCGUAACCCACUGGGCUCUGGGAAAGACCCGACUGAGGCUAAAGCCGCCCCGGAAGGCCAAGUCCGAGUUCCAUUUCUUGAAGAGGCCGGCGCGGGUCCAGGCAGCCCUCUGCAAGGCUGGGCCCCAUCGCUCCCCGCACGGCAUUUGGAGGUGGCCACCCGGAGAGGAGAAGGCCGACGCCCGCGCCAGGCUUGUCAGGCGGAAACAGCUAACAAGGAGAUUUGGUCAGCAAAACAGACCGAGCCUUUCCGAGGCUUCGUCUGAUUUGGCCCGAAAGGUUGGGGAGGGGGGGCUUGCGCAGCGCCUCCGGGACCCUCCUCUCUGGGGACGACCAUCCCUGAGCCUUACGCUUCGUUCCACCGCCUUUGCAAGCGGAAUAUCGGAAUAA
This 468-nucleotide long non-coding RNA is filed under the name Macaca mulatta (Rhesus monkey). Its description in RNAcentral is "lncRNA (ENSMMUG00000061402.1)". The stretch from base 1 to 63 matches the Rfam family "HOXA11 antisense RNA 1 conserved region 3", at positions 36 to 98 of the family's 98-position model. The record is from RNAcentral. Lineage: Eukaryota; Metazoa; Chordata; Mammalia; Primates; Cercopithecidae.